Talpa occidentalis (Iberian mole) is the source of this 1028-nucleotide long non-coding RNA. RefSeq lists it as uncharacterized. The record is from RefSeq and is a predicted model, not a curated record. The transcript has 4 exons. NCBI's taxonomy places the organism in Eukaryota, Metazoa, Chordata, Mammalia, Eulipotyphla, Talpidae.
CUGAUGCCCAGGUCGGAGUCACCGUGCACUGGCUUCUAGUCCCAGGGACCGGCAAGGAGUUGGGGACCCAGCGCUGGCCCAAGGCUGUGUGUGGCAGGACUCACUGAAGCGGUUAAGGAGACUGGAAGCGUGGCAAGUGUAUUUUCAAACAUCCCUUGCCCUAUAAUUUCUACUUUGGAUUCUGCUGUGAGAAGCAUCCUGUGACAUUUUGAGAAGAGUAGAAGCAAACGCCUUGACUGCUCUGGAGACGAUGGAAGCUGAGCCCAAGUAGACUACUGCCCCGUUCUUCAGGCUAUACGAUGGAUGGCUGACUUGCUUUUGAGUUGUAUCUGACUCACUGUACCAUGGCCUGUGGUCUUCAAUGCCGCUGAGUGCUGCCCUGACGACCUUGUGCUCCCCCGACCCUCUGAGGAGUUGAAAUGACAGGAAGUGAAGCAAGAUUGGCAGAGACUUUCUACAGGUGCUUCAGGCUUGUGAAGCAGAAGUAGAAGGGAAUUACGAAAAAAGUCAAAGAAAAAUAAAGGAAACAAUCAAAGGCGGACAAGUGAGAGGAAUCACCCUGGAGAGACUUGCAUGAUUGAGUGUGUAUUGGAGGGAGAGUGGGGGAGAGAGCUCCACAUCCUGAGAGGCAAAGCUCUAAGUCAAAUUCUUGGAAAGCACCCUAGAAGGAAGCUCUUCUCCUAGAACUCAGCAAAAACAGGCAGGCACAGCAGCCACUGCACUGCGAUUUUUGCCUCCCCAGGGUCAAUAUUUUCAUCAGUUGCCAAUAACAACUUAGAGCUGUGUGGUCUAUGGCCCAUGAAGAGUUGACGAGAAAUUAAAAGGCAUUGUUCCUUUCCAAAUGCUUUCCAAUUCUAUCUGAAAAACAGUUCCCCUCCUUUCUUUGAUGAGUACCAUCUUUUAUAGGUGAUGUUUUGUUUAGGUUAAUUUCCAGAGCAGCCUUAGCAAAUUCAGUCCCUUGCCUAAUCCCUUGCUCUUAGUGUCAGUAAAUACCUGUUGAAAAAAAUUCAGUGAAUGAAUAAGGAUGA